RNAcentral lists this ribosomal RNA (500 nucleotides) under uncultured bacterium. RNAcentral describes it as "partial 16S ribosomal RNA". It matches the Rfam family "Bacterial small subunit ribosomal RNA", at positions 30 to 523 of the family's 1533-position model. The record is from RNAcentral.
AUUGAACGCUGGCGGCAUGCCUUACACAUGCAAGUCGAACGGCAGCACGGGAGCAAUCCUGGUGGCGAGUGGCGAACGGGUGAGUAAAGUAUCGGAACGUGCCCAGUCGUGGGGGAUAACGUAGUGAAAGUUACGCUAAUACCGCAUACGACCUAUGGAUGAAGGCGGGGGAUCGCAAGACCUCGCGCGAUUGGAGCGGCCGAUAUCAGAUUAGGUAGUUGGUGGGGUAAAGGCUCACCAAGCCGACGAUCUGUAGCUGGUCUGAGAGGACGACCAGCCACACUGGGACUGGGACACGGCCCAGAAUCCUACGGGGGGCAGCAGUGGGGAAUUUUGGACAAUGGGCGCAAGCCUGAUCCAGCCAUGCCGCGUGCAGGAUGAAGGCCUUCGGGUUGUAAACUGCUUUUGUACGGAACGAAAAGGUUUGACUUAAUACGUUGGACUCAUGACGGUACCGUAAGAAUAAGCACCGGCUAACUACGUGCCAGCAGCCGCCGUAA